GACGAACGCUGGCGGCGUGCUUAACACAUGCAAGUCGAACGGAAAGGCCCUGCUUUUGUGGGGUGCUCGAGUGGCGAACGGGUGAGUAACACGUGAGUAACCUGCCCUUGACUUUGGGAUAACUUCAGGAAACCGGGGCUAAUACCGGAUAGGAGCUCCUGCUGCAUGGUGGGGGUUGGAAAGUUUCGGCGGUUGGGGAUGGACUCGCGGCUUAUCAGCUUGUUGGUGGGGUAGUGGCUUACCAAGGCUUUGACGGGUAGCCGGCCUGAGAGGGUGACCGGCCACAUUGGGACUGAGAUACGGCCCAGACCCCUACGGGAGGCAGCAGUGGGGAAUAUUGCACAAUGGGCGGAAGCCUGAUGCAGCAACGCCGCGUGCGGGAUGACGGCCUUCGGGUUGUAAACCGCUUUCGCCUGUGACGAAGCGUGAGUGACGGUAAUGGGUAAAGAAGCACCGGCUAACUACGUG
Molecule: ribosomal RNA, 468 nt
Filed under: uncultured bacterium
Lineage: Bacteria
Description: partial 16S ribosomal RNA
Rfam family: Bacterial small subunit ribosomal RNA
Source: RNAcentral